Molecule: long non-coding RNA, 354 nt
Filed under: Carica papaya (papaya)
Lineage: Eukaryota; Viridiplantae; Streptophyta; Magnoliopsida; Brassicales; Caricaceae
Description: long non-coding RNA (CPAP_LNC007647)
Source: RNAcentral
UUCACUUCAACACAUAGUCAAGAAACUCUAAUUCAUAUGAUCAUAGGGAGGCUUUCUUCAUAUCUAACUUAGACAAGACACCCUCCAUAUUUUUGUGAAGCAGUUCAUCCACAAUUUCAUUUGCAAUGAACACCGCAUCUAGAUUCUGCCUGUACUCCAUAAAAACAUGCUGACACUCACCCACCACUCUCCCCAUCACCUUAGUCAUUCUCCUUGCCACAACACUUUAGCAAUAAGUUUAUACACACUCCUUAGCUGAUAGAUUCGAAACCCUUGAUACUUAUUGCUCCUCCACCUUAGGAAUAAUUAUAAAAAAUGUAGAGUUAAAAUAUUUAAUGGACCCUGACUCAUGAA